RNAcentral lists this non-coding RNA (123 nucleotides) under Lepisosteus oculatus (spotted gar). Its description in RNAcentral is "Eukaryotic large subunit ribosomal RNA". It matches the Rfam family "Eukaryotic large subunit ribosomal RNA", at positions 3022 to 3144 of the family's 3401-position model. The record is from Rfam by way of RNAcentral. Lineage: Eukaryota; Metazoa; Chordata; Actinopteri; Semionotiformes; Lepisosteidae.
AUCAACGAGAGUACGAGAGGGAGCUACAGGUUCAGACAUCUGGUGUCUGUGUUUGGCUGAGCAACCAGUGGUGCCAAGCUGCCGUCUGUGGGAUUAUGAUAAAAUGCCUAAAAUCAGAAUCCU